GUGCUCAUGUAGGUAGCACAUAUACUAAAAUUGGAACAAUACAGAAAAAAUUAGCAUGGUCCCCAGGCAAGAAUGACAUGCAAAUUCAUGAAGCAUUCUAUAUUUUU
RNAcentral lists this small nuclear RNA (107 nucleotides) under Dasypus novemcinctus (nine-banded armadillo). The record is from RNAcentral. Lineage: Eukaryota; Metazoa; Chordata; Mammalia; Cingulata; Dasypodidae.